This 253-nucleotide ribosomal RNA is filed under the name uncultured bacterium. RNAcentral describes it as "partial 16S ribosomal RNA". It matches the Rfam family "Bacterial small subunit ribosomal RNA", at positions 524 to 776 of the family's 1533-position model. The record is from RNAcentral.
GACGAACCGUGCGAACGUUAUUCGGAAUCACUGGGCUUAAAGCGUGUGUAGGCGGAUCGUUAAGUGUCUUGUGAAAUCCCACGGCUCACCCGUGGAACUGCUGGGCAUACUGGCGAUCUUGGGCCAACUAGGGGCAACUGGAACAAGCGGUGGAGCGGUGAAAUGCGUAGAUAUCGCUUGGAACGCCAAAGGUGAAAACAGGUUGCUGGGGUUGUGCCGACGCUGAGACACGAAAGCCAGGGGAGCAAACGGG